RNAcentral lists this ribosomal RNA (253 nucleotides) under uncultured bacterium. RNAcentral's name for it is "partial 16S ribosomal RNA". It matches the Rfam family "Bacterial small subunit ribosomal RNA", at positions 524 to 776 of the family's 1533-position model. The record is from RNAcentral.
UACAGAGGUGGCAAGCGUUGUUCGGAAUUACUGGGCGUAAAGGGCGCGUAGGCGGCCUCCUAAGUCAGACGUGAAAUCCCCCGGCUUAACCUGGGAACUGCGUCUGAUACUGGAAGGCUUGAGGAUGUGAGAGGGAUGUAGAAUUCCAGGUGUAGCGGUGAAAUGCGUAGAUAUCUGGAGGAAUACCGGUGGCGAAGGCGGCAUCCUGGACCAUUACUGACGCUGAGGCGCGAAAGCUAGGGGAGCAAACGGG